UACGUAGGUGGCGAGCGUUAUCCGGAAUGAUUGGGCGUAAAGGGUGCGCAGGCGGUCCUGCAAGUCUGGAGUGAAACGUAUGAGCUCAACUCAUGCAUGGCUCUGGAAACUGUACGACUUGAGUGCAGUAGAGGUUAGUGGAAUUCCUAGUGUAGCGGUGGAAUGCGUAGAUAUUAGGAGGAACACCAGAGGCGAAGGCGGCUAACUGGACUGUAACUGACGCUGAGGCACGAAAGUGUGGGGAGCAAACAGG
Molecule: ribosomal RNA, 253 nt
Filed under: uncultured Allobaculum sp.
Lineage: Bacteria; Bacillati; Bacillota; Erysipelotrichia; Erysipelotrichales; Erysipelotrichaceae
Description: partial 16S ribosomal RNA
Rfam family: Bacterial small subunit ribosomal RNA
Source: RNAcentral